CCUACGGGUGGCAGCAGUGAGGAAUAUUGGUCAAUGGACGAGAGUCUGAACCAGCCAAGUCGCGUGAAGGAUGACUGCCCUAUGGAUUGAAAACUUCUUUUAUCUGGGAAUAACAUGUUCCACGUGUGGGAUUUUGUAUGUACCAUAUGAGUAAGGAUCGGCUAACUCCGUGCCAGCAGCCGCGGUAAUACGGAGGAUCCGAGCGUUAUCCGGAUUUAUUGGGUUUAAAGGGAGCGUAGGUGGAUUGUUAAGUCAGAUGUGAAAGUUUGCGGCUCAACCGUAAAAGUGCAGUUGAAACUGGCAGGCUUGAGUACAGUAGAGGUGAGCGGAAGUCCUGGUGUAGCGGUGAAAUGCGUAGAUAUCACGAAGAACUCCGAUGGCGAAGGCAGCUCACUGGACUGCAACUGACACUGAGGCUCGAAAGUGUGGGUAGCAAACAGGAUUAGAUACCCGUGUAGUC
Molecule: ribosomal RNA, 460 nt
Filed under: uncultured bacterium
Lineage: Bacteria
Description: partial 16S ribosomal RNA
Rfam family: Bacterial small subunit ribosomal RNA
Source: RNAcentral